RNAcentral lists this transfer RNA (79 nucleotides) under Pseudoalteromonas lipolytica SCSIO 04301. RNAcentral describes it as "tRNA-Arg". The stretch from base 11 to 68 matches the Rfam family "tRNA", at positions 8 to 63 of the family's 71-position model. Rfam says of the family: Transfer RNA (tRNA) molecules are approximately 80 nucleotides in length. Their secondary structure includes four short double-helical elements and three loops (D, anti-codon, and T loops). Lineage: Bacteria; Pseudomonadati; Pseudomonadota; Gammaproteobacteria; Alteromonadales; Pseudoalteromonadaceae. The record is from RNAcentral.
UGAUAUUUAAUAGUUAAAUUGCUUUAAUCAGCCCCCUCCUAAGGGGCAGUUACAGGUUCGAUUCCUGUAGGGGCUACCA